Molecule: unclassified non-coding RNA, 329 nt
Filed under: soil metagenome
Description: partial contains 5.8S ribosomal RNA, internal transcribed spacer 2, and large subunit ribosomal RNA
Rfam family: 5.8S ribosomal RNA (bases 1-120)
Source: RNAcentral
GAUGAAGAACGUAGCGAAAUGCGAUAAGUAAUGUGAAUUGCAGAAUUCAGUGAAUCAUCGAAUCUUUGAACGCACAUUGCGCCCCCUGGUAUUCCGGGGGGCAUGCCUGUCCGAGCGUCAUUACAACCCUCAAGCUCAGCUUGGUAUUGGGCCCCGCCGACCCGGCGGGCCCUAAAGUCAGUGGCGGUGCCGUCCGGCUCCGAGCGUAGUAAUUCUUCUCGCUCUGGAGGUCCGGUCGUGUGCUCGCCAGCAACCCCCAAUUUUUUUCAGGCUGACCUCGGAUCAGGUAGGGAUACCCGCUGAACUUAAGCAUAUCAAUAAGCGGAGGA